GUCUUCCGGGUGUCCAGUAGGAGCGAGAAGGGCAGGGGUUUCCUGGAGCCAGCAGGAGGGGAAGGAAGAGGAAGGAGCGAAGUGGCAGAAAGGGGUUUGGGCACCUUCCUCUCCACAUGGACCGCAAGAUCUUCGGGGACUUAGCAGUGACUUUCUUGAAGAGAGAAACGCUGUUCACGAUUUAUACCUGAGCGUUUUAAUGCGUGCUGUGUGUGAUGAAGAGUGGGUACAGGGACUUCCCUGGUGGUCCAGCGGUAAAUAAUCCACCUUCCAAUGUGGGUUCGAUCCCUGGUCGGGGAAUUAAGAUCCCACAUGCCGCGGGGCAGCUAAGCCCGCGCGCCACAACUACAGAGCCCACGCGCCCUGGAGCCCAUGCACCACAACUAGAGAGAAGCCCGCACACCCCAACUAAGACCCAGCACAGCCAUAAAUAAAUAAGAGGACUUCGCGAGAAGGCAAAGAAAGCCCGGAAGAGGGCUCUUACCAGAACCCAGCCGUGCAGCACCAUGAUCUAGGGCUUCCAGCCUCCAGAGCUGUGAGAAAACACAUUUUGUUCUUUAAGGCGUUUGUUCUGUCACGGCAGCCUGAGCCGACUGAUGUAGUUGGCAAUUUGUCCAGCUUGGUUAUUGCUACGACUGUUGCUUAUAGACUACAGACGGAUCAGCUUUCUCUGAUGGGCUGUAAGCUUCUGGAGACUAUAUUAAUGUACUCAUUCUGGGCUCCCUCAGAGAACCCCCUGGAUUUGAGCCCAGGGUUGGAUCUUCAUAAAGGUUGGUUGAAUGACGGAUGGAUGGAUGGGCAGAUGGGCUGAAGGAAGGGCACAGAAGCUCAGAUAACUGACCACUAGAGGAGCCAAAGGACGUUUCCAUGGCCACAGGGGCAUAAGAAGUGGCAGCCCGGGCUAACCCAGUACAGCUUGGACCAGAGGCUAAUGUGCUGCCAGGUGCUGAGGGGCACCCCAGGAGGGCACCACUGCCACCUGUGUGAUCAAGUGCACGAGGGAGAGCCGACAUUUUCCGCAGACAUUCUUCAGAUAGAGAUGCCGCACUCAGCCCAUCGGGAGUUGUCUGCACUUCACUCGUCCAGAGGAACCAGCUUCCAUUUGCCCCAAAAGACUGCUCUUUUUCCAAGAAGGACCAGACAUAAUUGAGGGAAGGAAACACCUCCCAGAAGGGGGCCUCAUUUGGAGCCGGGGCCAGGGCACACCUGGGUGGGGGAACCCUCUUCAGAAACGUGUUGAUCUGAUUUUGAGCUCAGGCUUUGUUAGGCUGAGAAAUGGCCUUGGGUGUAUGUCCUAAAAGACUAUAAAACAAAGCGCCACCCUGCUGUCUCAACCUCCAGCUUCCUGUCCCUCCCUGCAAGGUUCAGCGUGGACCUUCUGUCGCCUCAGGCCUGCCGUCCCCAGUUCUAACCUGUGAGCCAAGGACGGUCUCUGCCUCUGUCCAGGGGCCCAGACUUCUCCCGUCUGCAAACUCAGAGAUCCCAUCGCUCGACCUCUGCUUCCAUCAUCACAUCCCCUUCUCUGACUCUCCUGCAUCCCUCUUUCCCUUAAAUGGACCCUUGUGAUCAUGUGGGGUCCACCCAGAUAAUCCAGGACAAUCUCCCUGUCUCAAGAUCCGUAAUUCAAUCACAUCUGCAGAGUCCCUUUUGCCACGAAAGGUGACAUAGUCACAGGUUCUGGGGAUUACGACUCGGACAUUUUUGGGGGGCCACUAUUCUGUGUGCCACACGCACUGACUUAUGAUUUUCUUGAUUUUUUCUGGCAUCGCCUUGCAGCUCAGGUGCAGGGAUGGAGAAGGUGGGAGGUGACACUGAAGGAGGGCUGGGGCUCUUCCAGGGGGAAAAACUAGAAGGAAGAGGCCGAGGGAACUGAGGGCAAGGGUGGGUUUAAAGGAUGAUUUGUCAGGUCUGGUUAGGAUUGGUUAGGUCAUGGUUAGGGUCGCCCUGCGACCUGGAAAUGUCACCGUGUUGGGAGAAAAUGGAGAGGUCAAGACCCUGAAGGGCUUGGUGAGGUUGCAAAGCCGGUAUAGUGGGGGGAUGGGCAAAGGAACUGGACGCAGUGGAAGCUGUGGUCAGAGGAGGAUGGGGGCCCCGAUGAUCCGGCGGGGGGGACAGUCAGGGGAGGUGGUGAGAUCCAGGCUGGGGAUGAAGGUGAGUGGACACGACAAGGUCAGGUGGUCCCUGGAGGUGCGCAGGCCGGAGAGCUGAGAGGCCAGGAGUCGGAGUGUUGGCCCCAUGGACGUUGAUGUGGCAGGACUUGGGCUGCAGAGGAGGCCUCGUGCCAGAGCGGAAGCCUCUGAUGGCGUGAAGGAGAAGCCGGGAGGGUGUUCAGGAGGUGACAGAGGUGAGAAAGCGCUCGCGGGGUCUGCCCAGGCCCUCUGAGAAGGCUCUUCCCCAGGAGGGUGGAGGAGCGAUGGUCUGGAGCUGUCAGCAUCCCCCCACUCUCCUCUCCUGCAGUUAGAAGUCCAAGGACAUGAGUUCAGACCUCCUCUGAUCGCAGGCUUCUGUUCCUGUGGUUGCAUCGGCAGUUUUGUUGGGAGCUGCAAGUUUAAAAGUGUCUGAAUCAAGUGUAUCUGCCCCCCAGCUUCCUCUGGAUCCUAAGGUCCCUCAGAUCUCCCUUCUCCCUUUCCAGCCCCACACCUCUUGGGACUGAGGAUGGGGCUGGGCAGCCUGCGUGUUACACUGGGACCCUGGCAGGGAAGCCCAGCAGGAGGGCAGGGGAAAGGAGAGUCCUUGGGGGAGAAGAAGGUUUCAUCUGUCCCGGGAGGACAGUUCCAGAGGACACAGUGGAGACGGAAGGUGGAAGGGAGGGUCGGCGGGUGGAGAAGCCUGCAGAGACUAGGGGGCCAGAGUGCAUCUUCCCAAAUGGCUGCAGCUGCCUUCCUGCUCUCGCACGUUCCUCCGGAACAUGCCGCUCCCCGUCAACAAGAAGAGUCCACUUCCUCUCCCCUUGACCUCAAGCAGGCUUUCGACUGGACGCUUCAAGUGCAGCAGGAGUGACGCUCUGUGACCUCUGAGACUCCCACCGUUCCCUCUUGCUCUGGGGACACCCGCCCUUGGACCUGGCCACCGUGCUGUGAGAAGCCUCGUGUGUAGACAUUCAGGCUGAAAACUGGAGCCAAGGUCUUUGUCAGCAGCCAGCAUCACCCGCCAGGCCUGUGAGCCGAGCGGCCUGACAUGAUUCCAGCCCCCACCAUCGGGCACCGAGUCUUCCAGCCAAGGCCCCAGGCACAGGAGCAGAGCUAAGCCAGGCUGACCCUGCCUCUGUCAAGCAGAGAUAAGAUUCUGUGACCGUAUUUAAUGGUUGUUUAAGAGCACAGAGUGUUGGUGUCAUUUGUUACAUAGCCUUACUAGCUAAUACACUCAGUGACUGGAAGGAAUGAGGUUUUGUAAUUGAAAGAAGCAGCCUCAGCUUUCCAAGAGGCAUUCAGUGUGAAGACAGCCUCCUGGCAGGGAGUGGAGGGGGAAGGCCACGAUCGCCACAGCCCAGACCCCCCGUGCGUACGCAGACAAGAUCCUGACUGUGUUUGGUGGUAGAUGAGGAGGCUGGUCUUCUCACCAGCCGCUGGGAUAAAGCUGGGCCAGAAGUUCAUCAUGUGACGUCACCAGAUCAUUUUGUUUUGUUUUGGCUAUGCGACUUGCAGGAUCUUAGUUCCCCCACCAGGGGUUGAACCCUGGCCCUCGGCAGUAAAAGCACGGAGUCCUAACCACUGGACUGGCAGGGAAUUCCCAGAGAAGUCACCAGACCUUAACCAAAGGCAGCCUGAAUAUCCCCAAACUUUGGUCUCAUCCAGACACUGUUUAAGAUCUAGAGACCCGAAUCCGGCAAUAGUUAUAUAAAUGGUGGGAUCUCUGUGUCAUGCAGUCAUUAAAGAUUAUGUUUUCGAAGAAUAAUCUAAAUUAAAGACAUGGGAAGAUUCUCAUAAUGAAUAACAGUGAACAGGGGCAGGGUAUUGACCCCACGUACAUUUGGGUGCAGUGAGACCUUAACUGUGCUUACAUCUUAGGUGGUGGGAUUUUGGCUGGUAGUGUCUUCUUCUUUAACUUUUCUGUAUUUUGCAGAUUCUUUUUAAAGGUAAAAUGUAAUACUCUUAGAAUGAGAAAAACCUAAGUAUUAUUUGUUUUAAAAAGCACCUAGUUAUUUGCAAUUUAAUUUGUGGACUCUGGAGAUCUCACAGGGGUUAACGUAUCUCCGAGAACCCUUAUCAAGGGACAAAGGUCAGGACAUAGGUCCCUCCCAGCCCCCUUUCCUGAAGUUGUGAGCACGAGGGGGUGGGUUUUUCACCCUCUUUGAUCACAGACUUCUGUUCCUGAGGUUGCACCGGCAGUUUUAUUGGAAGCUGCAAGUUUAAAAAUAUCUGUAUCAGGUGUGUCUGCCCCGUCUCCCGCUCUGGACUCUAAGGUCCCCUCGGUGCCUCCCCUCCCCCGCCCAACUCGAGGGCUGGGCGGCCAGGGGUGCUAUA
This is a long non-coding RNA of Balaenoptera acutorostrata (minke whale), 4463 nucleotides long. RefSeq lists it as uncharacterized. The transcript is spliced from 3 exons. The record is from RefSeq and is a predicted model, not a curated record. Lineage: Eukaryota; Metazoa; Chordata; Mammalia; Artiodactyla; Balaenopteridae.